ACAUAAUUAUUUUCCUGAUUCAGUGGCAUGGUUCAGUCUUCCAGGAGUUCUGCUACAGAGAAGAGAGUAACCCCCAUCCAUCAUGGCCAAAGCACCCAGUCAGGCUCCGCUCUGGAUCCAGCCCGACAAAUGCAACCCUUGAAUAGGGUUUGUGCAAGCAAACUGGAUGACGACCGAAGAAACCCUGUCGCUUCUGAGAAGACACCCAAUCCAAGAAUAUACAGUCGAAUGUAAUUUGGAAUUUACGAGUCUUAUCACAUUCUCAUUCUGCUUGAGCAAUUCAAGAUAUAAGAAAAACAGACUGUCUACAUUUCUUCAGAGUUCCUCCAACUAUUGGCUUAAAAUUCCUGAAAUUAAAAUUAUAGUUCUUUG
This 372-nucleotide long non-coding RNA is filed under the name Homo sapiens (human). RNAcentral's name for it is "non-protein coding ST8SIA6-AS1:7". The record is from RNAcentral. Lineage: Eukaryota; Metazoa; Chordata; Mammalia; Primates; Hominidae.